Molecule: ribosomal RNA, 497 nt
Filed under: uncultured bacterium
Lineage: Bacteria
Description: partial 16S ribosomal RNA
Rfam family: Bacterial small subunit ribosomal RNA
Source: RNAcentral
GAUGAACGCUGGCGGCGUGCCUAAUACAUGCAAGUCGAGCGAACGGACGAGAAGCUUGCUUCUCUGAUGUUAGCGGCGGACGGGUGAGUAAAACGUGGAUAACCUACCUAUAAGACUGGGAUAACUUCGGGAAACCGGUGCUAAUACCGGAUAAUAUUUUGAACCGCAUGGUUCAAAAGUGAAAGACGGUCUUGCUGUCACUUAUAGAUGGAUCCGCGCUGCAUUAGCUAGUUGGUAAGGUAACGGCUUACUAAGGCAACGAUGCAUAGCCGACCUGAGAGGGGGUUGGGCCACACUGGGAGUGAGAGGCGAUCCUGACUCCUAGAGGAGGCCGCAGUAGGGAAUCUUCCGCGAUGGGCGGAAGCCUGCAGGAGCGGCGCAGCGUGAAUGAUGAAGGUCCUCGGAUCGUAAGACUCUGUUAUUAGGGAAGAACAUAUGUGUAAGUAACUGUGCACAUCUUGACGGUACCUAAUCAGAAAGCCACGGCUAACUACGUG